RNA transcript from Paramacrobiotus metropolitanus, 2599 nucleotides. RefSeq lists it as uncharacterized. The transcript has 7 exons. The record is from RefSeq and is a predicted model, not a curated record. NCBI's taxonomy places the organism in Eukaryota, Metazoa, Tardigrada, Eutardigrada, Parachela, Macrobiotidae.
CAAAAUUUUUUCUAACUGUUAUUGUGUUUUCUUUUAAAAUCAAAAGUGUUUUUAGAUUGCACGUUUGUUCGGUAUUACCAAGUUACUACCGUGUUGAAAACUUGUUCGUUUGUUCAGCAGUGUAGGAAGGGGAGUUGUUAGCUGUUGUUGUUGUUAGCAUCAUGAAACGACAUCGACCGAUUCCUUCGACAGGUAUCGCUGUGCCUGUGACCAACACACGACCCGUUCUCCGAUCCUCCACUCGUUUCAACCAGAUUGUGCCAACAACGCCCGCAGCUCUAUCAUACAAAGACCUGAUUAGAGUGGUCGGCGUGGAUCCUGAGUCGAAUCCUUUAUACUGGCGCAAAGCGAUCGAUCACUCGGCGGAGACGGUGGUCUUCUUCCAGGUGGAUCUGCGCGGCACACUGCCCCGCAUGUGCAAGAGCGUCCGCAUCUGCCAGGAGGCAGGGGACAGGCAGCGCCUGAUCCCGCGCGUGUACAUUGGGGAGACGCUACUCAGUGGAGAUUACGUGAAGACAAUCAUCGGCAGGCGAUAUCUAGCGGACGAGGACGAUCUGAUGAAGUUGCUGGAGCAUGCGGGAGUGUUGAAGGAAAAUCAGGAACCGGUUGUGGAGGAACAGGAUGAGGAGAACGCGGAUGGUGAUUCGUAUAGUGAAGAAAGGGAGGAUGAUGCUGGUAGUCCGGAGCCUGUGCCAAAACGAGUUAGAUUUGGCGAGAAACUGCAGGCACCACGAACCACACGAAUCAUAUCCCACGAUCGCCGUCCGACUUCCCAUCGCACGGUGACUCUCGCAACGCCUGAUCAUCGAAACACGGAUCUCGGUAAUACGGGCGGUCGCCAUACCCGGGAUCUCGCGCCACUUUUUCCAAUGGACAACAGCGUUAAAGCUCCUAUAGAGACGGGAGUUCCGGAGGAUGUUCCGGACGAAACAGACUUCGAAAUGAGCGUCCUUCCUGUUGACGAUGCCGCUGAUUAUGAGGAUGAUUUACCAUUGGGAGACGAUGUUCCCGGACCAUCCGCAUCGCUCGAAAACGCGGAUGGUCCUACCGGGAAAAUGCCGCCUAUUCGACAUAGCCAGCCGCACCCGGCCGUCGAAGAUAAUCCGGCAAAUAAUUCAGGCGAAGAAGACGAAACGGGUACUGAUGCCAAAUGCGUCAAGGAACCGUUGUAUACUGUUCCACCGGAACUCGUGCGGUUGGGUGACAAAUCAGGAAAAUGGUAUUUCUCGCAGCCCGGUCCGGGAAAGAUUCUCCUGCAUCCGGAUGUGCCGGAUGUGUACGUUGAAGAGGCUGUUCUGCCGUGGUACAAAAAUCAUACCAACAAUAUCGACUUCUACUCGUGGAGCAUGUUCUACACGUUGGUGGGCGGCAUAAAGGGCAUGAACCGGCUGGAAUCCUUGUGGCAUGCCAGACAGCAACGGCAAAUCGUGUAUUUGCUUGGCAAGAAGUUUCUGGAAUCUUUAGAACGUCAUCUGGAAAGUGCAAUGCCAAAGAAGAAAUUAAAAUGUUCCUUGAGUACCCAUCUGGCGUCGCGGUUCGCCUCAUGGCGUAUCAAAAAUGCAAUAAAGGAGUCCAAUAAAGCCAAAUCUGCCAAGAUGCCAAUUCUGGUUGCAAAGGAUUCUUGUGCUGCUAAAAGUCGGUGGCUUGAAAGGAUGUCUUGAUUCGUCAACCAUGGAAAAAUCUUUUGAAUGGGGCAUAGUCUCCGGCUGCGCUUUUUUCCUGUUUGCAUAAUUUCCACGCUGCCGGACAUAUAUGGAGCAAGGGAACACGAUUAUUCAACGAAUGCAGUAUUUUGCUCUUUUUUGGCAGUUGAAACUGCUAUGAUUCUCACAUGGAUUAUGAAUAUAUUUUGCUUUCAUAGUCGCAUUAUCUCAUACCUGGUUCUGUUCUUGGCAACUCGGAAAAGUAUUUGGAAUAACGUCCGCAAAAAUGUAUUUUAAAGACGGCAGGUGUGUGCAAUUACGCAUAACGAAGGGCAGUAAACUUGUUCGAUUUACUACGAGAUUCAUAAUACACGAUGCUCUUGUACGUUCUUCAAAUACAAACUGGACUCCGAGAGGACGAACAUCAUCUUGGGAGCCCACACCCAGGUGGUGAUGACCUUGCCGGCCUUCCCAUGGGUCCGCACGAUCCGCAGGAAAACACUCAGUACAAUCCGCCACUUUUUCUGACACUGAAGACCGCUCUUGAUGGGCUCGCCGUUCUCCACGGCGACGCGGUUGACGGCAGCCGCCACGGUAUCCCAGGCACGCUGUUUGACGUCCGCUGGGCGGCCCGGCACGGUCACUUCACCGCUCCACAGAACGGGGAGGGUUGCCACGGUGUCAAUCAACACACCCACUUCGUCAUGGGAAAACCAAAUGGCGGUUUCGCUGCCGGUAGAUUGGGUUGGAUUCCUUGGUUUUUUAAGCAAAACUGCAAAAGGGUAACAGCUUUCGGAAAAGUAAUUAUCGGAAGUUUCUCGAAGCAGCUACACCCAUUUCAAAUCGCUUUAUAGUUAGGAAGAGGCGUAAAAACUGUGCGUGUUUUAAUAAACAACGUAAAUUUCUUUGUGUUUGCAACGACAGAGAUAGUAAUAAAACAAACCACUUUUAUUCUA